RNAcentral lists this long non-coding RNA (270 nucleotides) under Gossypium raimondii (Peruvian cotton). RNAcentral describes it as "long non-coding RNA (GRAI_LNC001353)". The record is from RNAcentral. Lineage: Eukaryota; Viridiplantae; Streptophyta; Magnoliopsida; Malvales; Malvaceae.
AAAGGUAUUCGACUUCCCCCUUUUUCCCUAUCGAACACCCCGGAGAAAGAAGAAGUCUCCUUUUAUUAUUUUUUCCAUUUUCAUUUCAUUUACUAGCCAAAAGAACAACAAACUAACAAGAAUGAAGAUGAAAUGAAUUUACCAGCCAAAUUCCACAUCAAGCCUAACCUUGCGUAAGCUCCUUUCCUUUCUUGUUCCUGCCUUGUUCUUCUCUCUUAGCAAGUUUAUUGAGGAAAUCAGCCCCAAACAAAGCUUGAAAGCUUAAACUCC